GGAAUCUUCCACAAUGGGCGGAAAGACCUGAUGGAGCAACGCCGCGUGUGUGGUGAAGGGUUUCGGCUCGUAAACACUGUUGUAAGAGAAGAAUGACAUUGAGAGUAACUGUUCAAUGUGUGACGGUAUCUUACCAGAAAGGAACGGCUAAAUACGUGCCAG
This 162-nucleotide ribosomal RNA is filed under the name uncultured bacterium. Its description in RNAcentral is "partial 16S rRNA". It matches the Rfam family "Bacterial small subunit ribosomal RNA", at positions 358 to 511 of the family's 1533-position model. The record is from RNAcentral.